Molecule: ribosomal RNA, 257 nt
Filed under: uncultured bacterium
Lineage: Bacteria
Description: partial 16S ribosomal RNA
Rfam family: Bacterial small subunit ribosomal RNA
Source: RNAcentral
UACGUAGGUGGCAAGCGUUUAUCCGGAAUUAUUGGGCGUAAAGCGCGCGCAGGCGGUUUCUUAAGUCUGAUGUGAAAGCCCACGGCUCAACCGUGGAGGGUCAUUGGAAACUGGGGAACUUGAGUGCAGAAGAGAAAAGCGGAAUUCCACGUGUAGCGGUGAAAUGCGUAGAGAUGUGGAGGAACACCAGUGGCGAAGGCGGCUUUUUUGGUCUGUAACUGACGCUGAGGCGCGAAAGCGUGGGGAGCAAACAGGAU